CCUACGGGGGGCAGCAGUGAGGAAUAUUGGUCAAUGGGCGCGAGCCUGAACCAGCCAAGUCGCGUGAGGGAAGACGGUCCUAUGGAUUGUAAACCUCUUUUGUCGGGGAGCAAAAGACGCCACGCGUGGCGUUCCGAGAGUACCCGACGAACAAGCAUCGGCUAACGCCGUGCCAGCAGCCGCGGUAAUACGGAGGAUGCGAGCGUUAUCCGGAUUUAUUGGGUUUAAAGGGUGAGCAGGCGGAAGAUCAAGUCAGCGGUAAAAUUGAGAGGUUCAAACUCUGCGAGCCGUUGAAACUGGUGUUCUUGAGUGAGUGAGAAGUAUGCGGAAUGCGUGGUGUAGCGGUGAAAUGCAUAGAUAUCACGCAGAACUCCGAUUGCGAAGGCAGCAUACCGGCGCUCAACUGACGCUCAUGCACGAAAGUGUGGGUAUCGAACAGGAUUAGAUACCCCUGUAGUC
RNAcentral lists this ribosomal RNA (459 nucleotides) under uncultured bacterium. RNAcentral describes it as "partial 16S ribosomal RNA". It matches the Rfam family "Bacterial small subunit ribosomal RNA", at positions 338 to 795 of the family's 1533-position model. The record is from RNAcentral.